AGCAGCGUGGCUCAGUGGAAAGAGCACGGGCUUUGGACUCAGAGGUCAUGGGUUCGAAUCCCUGCUCGGCCA
This 72-nucleotide transfer RNA is filed under the name Ornithorhynchus anatinus (platypus). It matches the Rfam family "tRNA". From Rfam's summary of the family: Transfer RNA (tRNA) molecules are approximately 80 nucleotides in length. Their secondary structure includes four short double-helical elements and three loops (D, anti-codon, and T loops). Further hydrogen bonds mediate the characteristic L-shaped molecular structure. tRNAs have two regions of fundamental functional importance: the anti-codon, which is responsible for specific mRNA codon recognition, and the 3' end, to which the tRNAs corresponding amino acid is attached (by aminoacyl-tRNA synthetases). tRNAs cope with the degeneracy of the genetic code in two manners: having more than one tRNA (with a specific anti-codon) for a particular amino acid; and 'wobble' base-pairing, i.e. permitting non-standard base-pairing at the 3rd anti-codon position. Lineage: Eukaryota; Metazoa; Chordata; Mammalia; Monotremata; Ornithorhynchidae. The record is from Rfam by way of RNAcentral.